GCGCGCGUGGUGGAAUUGGUAGACACGCUACCUUGAGGUGGUAGUGGCGAUUUUAAGCUGUGCUAGUUCGAGUCUAGUCGCGCGCACCA
Molecule: transfer RNA, 89 nt
Filed under: Candidatus Saccharimonadota bacterium
Lineage: Bacteria; Candidatus Saccharimonadota
Description: tRNA-Leu
Rfam family: tRNA
About the family: Transfer RNA (tRNA) molecules are approximately 80 nucleotides in length.
Source: RNAcentral